Molecule: small RNA, 83 nt
Filed under: Nonlabens sp. Hel1_33_55
Lineage: Bacteria; Pseudomonadati; Bacteroidota; Flavobacteriia; Flavobacteriales; Flavobacteriaceae
Description: Flavo-1 RNA
Rfam family: Flavo-1 RNA
Source: RNAcentral
AUUUUGCGUGAGGGAUAGUAGUGAAAAUCCUUUUAUCAAGCUAUGAGCGAGAUAAAAGAUUGUAACGAAUAGCCCGACCGAGG